RNAcentral lists this ribosomal RNA (353 nucleotides) under uncultured soil bacterium. Its description in RNAcentral is "bacterial SSU rRNA". It matches the Rfam family "Bacterial small subunit ribosomal RNA", at positions 512 to 863 of the family's 1533-position model. The record is from RNAcentral.
CAGACGCGGUAAUACGUAAGAGACGAGCGUUGUCCGGAGUUACUGGGCGUAAAGGGUGCGCAGGCGGCGGUGCGCGUGUGCGGUGAAAUCUCCUGGCUCAACUGGGAGGGGGCCGUGCAGACGGUAUCGCUUGAGGGUCGGAGAGGGGCGUGGAAUUCCGGGUGGAGCGGUGAAAUGCGUACAGAUCCGGAGGAACACCGACGGCGAAGGCAGCGCCCUGAUCGACACCUGACGCUCAGGCACGAAAGCUGGGGGAGCGAACAAGAUUAGAUACCCUGGUAGUCCCAGCUGUAAACGAUGUCCACCGGGUGCUGGGGGUAUCGACCCCCUCGGUGCCGCAGCCAACGUGAUGA